CAUGUAGAAGAAGAGAAAAUUGGAAACAUUUAAAUGUGUAUAUAUAUAUAUAUAUAUUUAAAACCACUGAAAGUUCAAGAUAGGUUUAAAGGUAAUUCAAAUAAACCAUAUUUCACUAUAUAUAUGAAAAUAUAGACUAUAUGCACUUAGUAAAUGGCAACCUGAAUUUUAGACUACUUGGGGGUAGAAAUUAGUAAAAAGUAUUGUAAUAGCUUAGAUUUCUAAACUGUUUUAACUCCUCCCAGAAUUUUGUCUUUUUUUUUUAACCUUAAAGAGUUCUUGAUACACUCUCAGCAGUUGAAGAAACUAAGGGGCAGAAAACCAAAAUAACUUGCUUGAGGUACCAGAGCUAACGCCUCACCUUCUGCUUUCAAAUCCAGUGCUCCAGCAUUGAAUAUGUGUAGCCAUCUACAUGUAAGUAGUUGAUCUAUAUUCUGAGAAUUUUAUUCUUUAUUGAGGUAUUCUUUAAUGAGAGAUAAAGAGAUUCAGAAUUUAGUUUGAAUUGCUUUAUACAGCAAUGAUCCUUUCCAUGCCUUUACACAUGCACUUCAAUCAUGUGUAUUAUGUGAUGUCAGGCAAGGAGGAUUUUAUGGUAUUUUAUGAAAAUACUGAAUUCCAAUCCCUUAAAAAAUUAGAGUACAAUUUCUAAGAUAUAUUCAUCAGUGUUCUUAAAGAGAUUCCCCUAAGUCACAUUUCUCAAUUUGAGUGCCGUAUUUUAUAUGACUAGAUCUAUGCCAAACAGAGUGGAGAGGUGUUUUUAGCAGUAACCAAUUUUAUGUUUCUGAGAGAAAAAGUUAAGCCUAAAGAAAAUGGUAAAGUAUUAACGAUUAGAAAGAUGAGAAAAUAUGUGACACGACAACUUUGGAUCAACACGAGGUUCUCGUUGGUUCUUAGUGAUAAUUUUUUUCCUUAGUCAGUGAUCAACACCCCUAGUGAUCGCUUAUCAACCACUGGAAGGGAGCCUUCUUAGCUCCUUAAAAUGUUCAAGUCGUUCCUUCCAUGUCAAGAUUCUUCCAUGAUUGCACUCUUUGGUGGACAAGAGUUUGAAUUCAUUUCAGAAAUUUGUGAUUUCCUUACAACCUAGUAUGACAGCAUUUUCAUUUUCCUUCUGUGUUUGCACACAGAGCUUCAAUAAUCACGCAGGCUGGGAACCUGCAGCUCGGUCAGUUUCCGCCAACAUGCAGCGUCAAUAGAAAAGGAUUGAGAGCUCUGUUUGUUGACCGGAGUUGAAAACUUGCAUUCAUCCCAGUUUACUGCACGGAUCUAGCCCGCAGAGAAGCGCUGAUAGGAUCUCUGAUAACAGUGGAGUCAGUUACUCUCCUGUGAGAAAGUUCCUGGUCUUGGAGGCAUAUGGAGGAAGUCAUUGAUGGCAGCUCAGUAAUGAGGAAGCUUGCUCUUUCCCCCUUAGAACCAGAAACUUUCCUGUGUCACUUGACAAGACUGGUUUCCAGCUGAUCCUGGAAUGUGAGUGCGAAUACUUGCAUGGUGACAUUAGGUACAUGCAUAAAGAUUUACUGCGAUUUAGUAGGUAAAUCGAAGAAGGCAAUUGGGUACAACAAAGAUUUAAGGUACAUGGUAUCUUUUGACUAAAUGUAUCAUAAUUUCAUCGAGCAAGAUGCUUGCAGGAGGUAAUGUUCUUUCUCAAAGAGGAAAGCAUUAAUCACCACUGGGAAGAAUUAGAUACGCAAAAACAUAAGAAACAUAGUUUUUUCUGUUUUAAAUAUUGUAACUUUUAUUUCAUAUUAAUUGAAGUAAUAUUUUAAAAUAAUCUUCCU
Non-coding RNA from Equus caballus (horse), 1775 nucleotides. NCBI's taxonomy places the organism in Eukaryota, Metazoa, Chordata, Mammalia, Perissodactyla, Equidae. The record is from RefSeq and is a predicted model, not a curated record.